AAGUACCAUAGAAACACGUGCUAACGACAACCAGCCUCCGCGAAAUAAUACCUAACGGGAGUUCCCGCGUAGGAGAGUGGUGGAGGAAAUGUGUGCGGGAGGUAGUUUUUACUAAGUAGGCGCCAUGGAUGGCAAAUCCUGCAUGCUGCAAGAACCAGCAGUAUCAUUUGAAGAUUUCUACCUCCA
Molecule: non-coding RNA, 186 nt
Organism: Glossina morsitans morsitans
Lineage: Eukaryota; Metazoa; Arthropoda; Insecta; Diptera; Glossinidae
Source: Rfam